UCGAGGGGCAUCACAUGAAGUAGCAAUACGGAUGGUGGCGACCGGCGCACGGGUGAGUAACACGUAUGCAACCUGCCUUCAACAAGGGGAUAACCCGUUGAAAGACGGACUAAUACCCUAUAACACAGGGGCCCCGCAUGGGGAUAUUUGUUAAAGAUUAAUCGGUUGAAGAUGGGCAUGCGUUCCAUUAGCUAGUUGGUGGGGUAAUGGCCCACCAAGGCAACGAUGGAUAGGGGAACUGAGAGGUUUAUCCCCCACACUGGUACUGAGACACGGACCAGACUCCUACGGGAGGCAGCAGUGAGGAAUAUUGGUCAAUGGACGCAAGUCUGAACCAGCCACGUCGCGUGAAGGAAGACGGCCCUACGGGUUGUAAACUUCUUUUGCAAGGGAAUAAAGUGAGUCACGUGUGACUUUUUGCAAGUACCUUGCGAAUAAGGAUCGGCUAACUCCGUGCCAGCAGCCGCGGUAAUACGGAGGAUCCGAGCGUUAUCCGGAUUUAUUGGGUUUAAAGGGUGCUCAGGCGGGCGAUUAAGUCGGCGGUGAAAUUUUGCGGCUCAACCGUAAAAGUGCCUUCGAAACUGGUUGCCUUGAGUGUGGAUGAGGUAGGCGGAAUUUGUGGUGUAGCGGUGAAAUGCAUAGAUAUCACGAGGAACUCCGAUUGCGCAGGCAGCUUACUAAGCCAUAACUGACGCUCAAGCACGAAGCGUGGGGAUCAAACAGGAUUAGAUACCCUGGUAGUCCACGCAGUAAACGAUGAUUACUGGCUGUUUGCGAUAUAUGUAAGCGGCUGAGCGAAAGCGUUAAGUAAUCCACCUGGGGAGU
This 825-nucleotide ribosomal RNA is filed under the name uncultured bacterium. Its description in RNAcentral is "bacterial SSU rRNA". It matches the Rfam family "Bacterial small subunit ribosomal RNA", at positions 62 to 881 of the family's 1533-position model. The record is from RNAcentral.